CCAGCAGCUGCGGUAAUUCCAGCUCUAAUAGCAUAUAUUAAAGUUGUUGCAGUUAAAAAGCUCGUAGUCGAAUUUCGGGCUCGUGUGGGCGGUCGGCUUAGGUCGAAUUGCCUGUGCGGGCCUUUCUGCUUGGGAGUCCUGGUAGGUUAACCCCUAUCUGUGAGUCACAGGCCGUUUACUUUGAAAAAAUUAGAGUGUUCAAAGCAGGCUAUUGCUUGAAUAUAUUAGCAUGGAAUAAUAAAAUAAGUCUUUGGUACUAUUUUGUUGGUUUGCGCACCAGAGAAAUGAUUAAUAGGGACAGUUGGGGCUAUUCGUAUUCCAUUGUCAGAGGUGAAAUUCUUGCAUUUCUGGAAGACGAACUACUGCGAAAGCAUUUAGCAAGGAUGUUUUCAUUAAUCAAG
Molecule: ribosomal RNA, 401 nt
Filed under: uncultured eukaryote
Lineage: Eukaryota
Description: SSU rRNA
Rfam family: Eukaryotic small subunit ribosomal RNA
Source: RNAcentral